Molecule: long non-coding RNA, 264 nt
Organism: Myotis davidii
Lineage: Eukaryota; Metazoa; Chordata; Mammalia; Chiroptera; Vespertilionidae
Exons: 2
Source: RefSeq, a predicted model, not a curated record
GUGAGAAACCGAGUCCCAGCGAGGUCCUGGAGCUUGCCCGGAGUCACACUGCUGCUUAGAGAAAUAAUGAUUUAUCAACGUCUUCCUUGACGUGAGAAUGGCUUGGAUAACCAUGAGCAGUCUGCCCUGUCAAGCCAAGGAAAGAUGUCGUUGGCUUGGACUUCCGCCGCCACCAUCCCGUCGGGUCCAGGAGGGGCGAGGGGCAUUCUGGGGCUGAAGCUUGCUGCUAUCAGUUUGGGUGAAAUGUCUUUCUGUGUAGCAUAG